This 1832-nucleotide long non-coding RNA is filed under the name Homo sapiens (human). RNAcentral describes it as "HSALNT0222457". Lineage: Eukaryota; Metazoa; Chordata; Mammalia; Primates; Hominidae. The record is from RNAcentral.
AUUACCUUUCUAGAUACACCCUGGGCCAGAAGGGAAUCUGCUGCUUUAAAGAAAAGAUUCUAGUCCUGGCAGGAUUCAUCACCUGCUGACUCAAGAGCCCUUGGGCCCUGAAUAGCCAACAGUGAUACCCAGGAAGAGGAAGACAGAGCUCUUACCAGGGGGAGGCAGAGAUGGCACAGCAAGAGACAUGCCCCCAGAAUGCCACCAAUGCCCCAGGACAGGCCCACCCAUGGGACCAGGUUAUCGGGAUAACCUGGGAGGAUGGGGUGGAAUCUGAGGGGUGAGCCUUCUUCCCCAGGCUGGAAGUGGGCGACACGAGACUGGCACCUCUACAUCUGAUUGUCCCCCAAACCCAGCAUUUAUGUCGUGAGCAAAGAAAGAAAUCAUGUUACUUCUUCCAGCUGAUGUUCCACUUGUUUCUUCUGCUGUUUCUGUGGGGAGAGUCAAAUUCAGGUGACUGAGGGUGGCCCCCUCAGCUCUAUUCCCCAGACCAGGAAGCGGUAGGCAGGGGCCAGGAAUGGAUUUUAAAGGCAAAGUUCUCAGACCCAAUGGCAACACAAACUGGUCAACUCUCCUCAAGCUCCCAAGGACACAGGAUGUGGGUCUUUGUUGGUUUUUGCCCACAGCCACAGAACUCAAAGUCUGAAUCUGGAUUCUCUCAAAAGGACAGUAACAUAAACCUCCAGAGACGGAGUCUGAGAAAGGCCCACCCUUCUGCCAGCUUGUGAUUUAGAAAGGUGCGUUCAUUCAAUGAACAUUUACUGAGCACACACAGGCCAGGUACAGUUCUUCACAACAGAGAUACAGGACAGAAAAGGACAGACAGGAGGCCUUCGCCCUGAGGUUUCCAUUCUAGGGGACUUUAAAUCUCAGACUCUCAGAGCUAACAGAGACCUUUGAUACUCUCUACCUCCUCUGGAAACACAAGCCCAAGGAGGAGAGGUGGCUUGUCCAGACUCAAGGGCAAAUUAGAGACUGAGUCAGGGCAGAAAUAUGGGGCCCCUGACAACCAAUCAGGCUAGCGCUUCCCUGAGAGGUGACAACCCCAGGGCGUGUGUGGCAAGGACUGGAGCAGGGGUACCUGAAGAAGAGAGAGUCAGCAAAGAGGGCAGCAAUGGAAGAGCCAUGCUGCAUGCUCCUUGCUCUGGGGUCCCUCUAGGUGAGGCAUGGGCACCCCAGCUCUCCAUUUGUCCUUGGCACCAGGGGCCCCCAGCCCCUUUAUUCAGGGCCCCAAGGGGAAACUGGAGCCCAGGAUUGGCAGAGUGGAAUCAGGGGACUCUACUGGACUCUUACCAAUGACUAUGUUUUCAAUGAGUUGACUGAUUGUUGCAGAGCUCAAGUCCAGGGCUACUGCUAGUUCUUGGUACCGGCUCUGAGGUGCAUACAGAGAGGAGGAGUUGGAGGAGGACUGCAGGGAGAGGUAGAGAGAACAAUCAUUAGGGCUGGGGUGUGUGUGGGCUGUCUCAGCUGGCAGAGGGGCACCCAGCCCCCACUGUGAGAGGAGGUUGGAGGGCUGGCCUGCAGGGUCACUGCACCUCAGCCUAGGGCCUCUUACCUCCAGAUCCUUUAGGGUAGCAGAUGAUGCAGGGGUAAUAAAAAUGAGAAAUUCAAAGAAACAAAAACUUCCAUGGGAAACAGUUAUGGAUAUAGAGAAAGUAUAAAAACAGCAAGGGACUGGGCACGGUGGCUUGCGCAUGUAACUCCAGCACUUUGGGAGGCUGAGGCUGGUGGAUCACUUGAGGUAAGGAGUUCAAGACCAGUCUGUCCAACAUGGUGAAACCUCGUCUCUACUAAAAAUACAAAGAUUAGCUGGGCAUGGUGGCAGGUGUCUG